AUGUAUACCGAUUGCAUGAUUCAUUAUUUUUGGCAAAAAAAUUAAAAUUAUACAAAGGAUCUUAAAGCAGCACAAGAUAUUUGUUUUCUUCGUUUGAAAAUGUUUUUGCAUGGAGCUGAGCUCACAUGUUCUUAAAGCAGGCUUUUGGUGUCCAUUCAUUUACAGUCUCUAGAGAUCCAGAAAGUUAAUUGUGUUCAGUGCAGGGCAUAGUAUUUUGCUAUUUAAAUGUCACUGUGCAUGCAUGGACUAAUGCAAAAGGGGUUUUCUUCGGUUUGGGAUGCUCGGCUGCUGCAUUAAUGCGAUGUGUUGAAUCUCCAAGUUCGUCUAAAGUCUUGAACAUGGAUGAAUGCGUGCAUGGACAGGGCAGAGAGGUUCACUGCAGUUUUCGACUGCCACAUUCAAGGCCUGAGUUGAAUCGAAGUCUCCAACAUGGAGUCCAGUCUCUGGUGAAACACAGCAGACCUGUUCAGGCGAGCUUCUGUACAAUUUGCGAUAGAUUUGGGUGGAGGUUUUUGUACAUUGGAUUUUCCAUCAUUGACAUUGUACUGCACCUUUUCAAUCUAUAUGGAUGGCCAUAUUAAACAAUUCAUUUAUCAAAA
Molecule: long non-coding RNA, 599 nt
Organism: Gossypium arboreum
Lineage: Eukaryota; Viridiplantae; Streptophyta; Magnoliopsida; Malvales; Malvaceae
Exons: 2
Source: RefSeq, a predicted model, not a curated record